This 590-nucleotide ribosomal RNA is filed under the name uncultured bacterium. RNAcentral describes it as "bacterial SSU rRNA". It matches the Rfam family "Bacterial small subunit ribosomal RNA", at positions 336 to 916 of the family's 1533-position model. The record is from RNAcentral.
CUCCUACGGGAGGCAGCAGUGAGGAAUUUCGCGCAAUGGGGGAAACCCUGACGCAGCAACGCCGCGUGAGUGAAGAAGGCCUUCGGGUCGUAAAGCUCUGUCAAGUGGGAAGAACCCUUCGGGUGUUAACAGCACCUGGAGCUGACGGUACCACUGAAGGAAGCACCGGCUAACUCCGUGCCAGCAGCCGCGGUAAUACGGAGGGUGCAAGCGUUAUUCGGAAUUACUGGGCGUAAAGGGCGCGCAGGCGGCCUGUUAAGUCAGUUGUGAAAGCCCGGGGCUCAACCCCGGAAGUGCGACUGAAACUGGCAGGCUUGAGUAUGGGAGAGGGAAGUGGAAUUCCUGGUGUAGCGGUGAAAUGCGUAGAUAUCAGGAGGAACACCGGUGGCGAAGGCGACCUCCUGGACCAAUACUGACGCUGAGGCGCGAAGGCGUGGGUAGCAAACAGGAUUAGAUACCCUGGUAGUCCACGCAGUAAACGGUGAUCACUAGGUGUUGCGGGCUUUGAUGUCUGCAGUGCCGAAGCAAACGCAUUAAGUGAUCCGCCUGGGGAGUACGGCCGCAAGGUUAAAACUCAAAGGAAUUGACGG